CCACAAAUACAGAGAAUCCACUGUUCACACGGACAGAGUCUCCCCUAUAUUUGCACGGCGUCACACAAGUACAAGAGUUCAAACAUUAUACAACCACAACCUGAUGAAUAUACAAAUGACCAACAGAUAUACAUUCAUACACCAUUCACCACAGAUUCACAUUAAUACAUUCGAUAUUUAAAUAUAAAUCCACAUCUAUCAGUUAAAAUGUUUCCAACCACAGGAACAGGUUUUGAUACAAAAUUCACAGAAAAUCUUUUGAAAACUGUUCCAUACACAGGAACUUUUAU
This 290-nucleotide long non-coding RNA is filed under the name Ananas comosus (pineapple). RNAcentral describes it as "long non-coding RNA (ACOM_LNC039963)". Lineage: Eukaryota; Viridiplantae; Streptophyta; Magnoliopsida; Poales; Bromeliaceae. The record is from RNAcentral.